GAUGAACGCUAGCUACAGGCUUAACACAUGCAAGUCGAGGGGCAGCAUGGUCUUAGCUUGCUAAGGCCGAUGGCGACCGGCGCACGGGUGAGUAAACACGUAUCCAACCUGCCGUCUACUCUUGGACAGCCUUCUGAAAGGAAGAUUAAUACAAGAUGGCAUCAUGAGUCCGCAUGUUCACAUGAUUAAAGGUAUUCCGGUAGACGAUGGGGAUGCGUUCCAUUAGAUAGUAGGCGGGGUAACGGCCCACCUAGUCUUCGAUGGAUAGGGGUUCUGAGAGGAAGGUCCCCCACAUUGGAACUGAGACACGGUCCAAACUCCUACGGGAGGCAGCAGUGAGGAAUCUUCCGCAAUGGACGAAAAAGUCUGACGGAGCAACGCCGCGUGAGUGAUGAAGGAUUUCGGUCUGUAAAGCUCUGUUGUUUAUGACGAACGUGCAGUGUGUGAACAAUGCAAUUGCAAUGACGGUAGU
RNAcentral lists this ribosomal RNA (472 nucleotides) under uncultured bacterium. RNAcentral describes it as "bacterial SSU rRNA". It matches the Rfam family "Bacterial small subunit ribosomal RNA", at positions 28 to 479 of the family's 1533-position model. The record is from RNAcentral.